RNAcentral lists this ribosomal RNA (501 nucleotides) under uncultured bacterium. RNAcentral's name for it is "partial 16S ribosomal RNA". It matches the Rfam family "Bacterial small subunit ribosomal RNA", at positions 30 to 523 of the family's 1533-position model. The record is from RNAcentral.
AUUGAACGCUGGCGGCAGGCUUAACACAUGCAAGUCGAGCGGGGGAAGGUAGCUUGCUACCGGACCUAGCGGCGGACGGGUGAGUAAUGCUUAGGAAUCUGCCUAUUAGUGGGGGACAACAUCUCGAAAGGGAUGCUAAUACCGCAUACGUCCUACGGGAGAAAGCAGGGAAUCUUCGGACCUUGCGCUAAUAGAUGAGCCUAAGUCGGAUUAGCUAGUUGGUGGGGUAAAGGCCUACCAAGGCGACGAUCUGCAGCGGGUCUGAGAGGAUGAUCCGCCACACUGGGACUGAGACACGGCCCAGACUCCUACGGGAGGCAGCAGUGGGGAAUAUUGGACAAUGGGGGGAACCCUGAUCCAGCCAUGCCGCGUGUGUGAAGAAGGCCUUAUGGUUGUAAAGCACUUUAAGCGAGGAGGAGGCUACUUUAGUUAAUACCUAGAGAUAGUGGACGUUACUCGCAGAAUAAGCACCGGCUAACUCUGUGCCAGCAGCCGCAGUAA